GCGACGCGUUACCUGUGCGCUUGCAGAAUCAAGCGUAUUCAAUACGGCUCGUCGCGUUUCUUUUCUUUUUUAUUUGAAACAUCGCGUUAAUUGAAAUCCAAAUUUACUGCCGUCGUUUAAUAGAUUUGUUAUUUGGUGGUUUUCAAUUAUUUUAGUGUUGGUUGAAUAUUCAUGAAGUGCGCGUGUUCACUGGCAAGCGUGUGAGUUGCCGUCGGAUGCCGAUUCAACUGGAAUUUUGCUUGGUUCAAGCAAGAAAAGUCUUUGCCGUGCUUUGGAGUCCCAUGAGUUCUGCAUUGUACUAUCUUUGAUUACCUGAUGCACUGGUAAGUUUGUAAACGGUAUUACAUCAUAAUGUCAUAUUUAUCUUAAAUCGCAUGUAACGUGAGUACCGUAAUAAAACAAAAUUGAUGCGUGCCGUCGGAUGCGACUUCGAUCUACCCGCAGAGUAUGGUCAUGUCAAUCAUCGGUUUAAUAACGUGAAAUUUUCCUUGCUUGCAUUUUCAUUUCAUUUCAUAAAUCUACAGGCUCUUUAACGUAUUUUCGUAGUUUGGCAAUUAAUUAUUGAGACUAAUAUAUUUGUAAAAAGACGAUUUAAAUUUCCUUCCGCGUGUGUGCUUGAGUUGCCGUCGGCGGAUACAUUUUGCCUUGCUUGUGGCGUAUCUGGAGAAUCCGUCGCAAAGAAAAUUUCAAAAUUUCUAGCUCUUUACUCUUAAAUUAAAAUGUAAUUGUAUUUUCGUUGUUUCACCCUCUCUAAGCGUGAAUAUAAUUCCAUGCAUGGAAAAUUUUGAAUUUUCUUAUUAAAUAUAGCGAUUUCCUUCUUGUAUCACCCUAUGUAUUAAUUUUCCUUGCUCUCUAAUGUAAAACAGACUAAAUUUGUCGUUUCCGGGUCGUUUUCUAUUUAAUUUUUGUAUUGUAUUUUUAAAUUUAGAAAUUUCUUAUUGGUAACACCCUGUAUGUUUGUUUUUCUUGAUUUUUAUUAUAAGUUUUCUAAAUUUGUUAUUCCCAGGUGUUUUCUUCUUUGAACUAUUGAUUUUCUUUUUGCAACACCCUGUAUAUUUGUUUUCCCAGAUUUCCUAUAAAAAACUGUCUAUAUUUAGUGUUUCCUAUUAUUUUCCUUCUUGAACUUGGCAUUUUCUUUUGUGUUGUAGUAAUCUCCUUUUUGUAACACCCUGUAUAUUAGUUUUCCUAACAGCACGAAGAAAAUCACCUUUAGUUGUAAGUUUUGAGUGUUCUCUGUUUUGAACUUGGAAUUUUCUUUCUAGAACACCCUGUAUAUAUGUUUUUCUUUGUGUCCGUGAAAAUUUUGGUUUAACUGUCGUUUUUAGUAUUUUCCCCUUUGCAUUUUGAAUUUUCUUUCUGGAACACCCUGUAUAUUAGUUUCCCUGAGCUUCGAGUGAGCGGCGUUUGUAGUGUUGAGAGUAUUUGUUUCUAUUAUCAGUCACCUAGAAAAUUGGCUAUUUACUAAUUCUAUUAUUCCGGUUGAACUUUAUGAAGUAGUACUUGCCGAUAUGUGCGCGGCUGAGCAAGUCGUAAGUCCUAUUUCAAUAUGGCGACAUGUAUUUUGUUGACUUGUAAAAUCUAAACUUGUAUUCUAUUAUUAAUAAAGAAAUAGUAAAAUA
Long non-coding RNA from Dalotia coriaria, 1619 nucleotides. RefSeq lists it as uncharacterized. Lineage: Eukaryota; Metazoa; Arthropoda; Insecta; Coleoptera; Staphylinidae. The transcript has 3 exons. The record is from RefSeq and is a predicted model, not a curated record.